UACGAAGGGGGCUAGCGUUGCUCGGAAUCACUGGGCGUAAAGCGCACGUAGGCGGAUCUUUAAGUCAGGGGUGAAAUCCUGGAGCUCAACUCCAGAACUGCCUUUGAUACUGGGGAUCUCGAGUCCGGAAGAGGUGAGUGGAACUCCGAGUGUAGAGGUGAAAUUCGUAGAUAUUCAGAAGAACACCAGUGGCGAAGGCGGCUCACUGGUCCGGUACUGACGCUGAGGUGCGAAGGCGUGGGGAGCAAACAGG
Molecule: ribosomal RNA, 253 nt
Filed under: uncultured bacterium
Lineage: Bacteria
Description: partial 16S ribosomal RNA
Rfam family: Bacterial small subunit ribosomal RNA
Source: RNAcentral